This 373-nucleotide long non-coding RNA is filed under the name Cyanistes caeruleus (blue tit). Its description in RNAcentral is "lncRNA (ENSCCEG00000011850.1)". The record is from RNAcentral. Lineage: Eukaryota; Metazoa; Chordata; Aves; Passeriformes; Paridae.
CCUUCCCUGAGGAGACCCCUCCCCACGUGCUGUGUGACGGCUGGGUCGUGUCACUUUUCUCAUCCCAGGGUGGCUCGAGCUGAUGGCUCAGCUCACAUGGCCACCCCAGCAUGCGAGCAGCUCCUUUAAGAGGCACCUGUCAGGAGGAAAGAAGGAAUGCACCUCUUCAGCUUAUUUCCACCUUGGGUCUCAUUACAGCAAAACUAAGACUGGCAGUUGGACUGAAGUUGAAAGCUCAGCUUCUCUGGGAAUAGCUCCAAGACCACCGACCGCCAGGUGUGCAGAGCCCAUCUCUACCAUCUCCAGGACAAGGUGGAGUCCCGUGGUCAUGGCUGGACUUGGACAAGGGUGCUUCAGGAUGGGUGACCUGUGA